UACGUAGGGUGCGAGCGUUGUCCGGAAUUACUGGGCGUAAAGAGCUUGUAGGUGGUUUGUCGCGUUGUUCGUGAAAUCUCACGGCUUAACUGUGAGCGUGCGGGCGAUACGGGCAGACUAGAGUACUGCAGGGGAGACUGGAAUUCCUGGUGUAGCGGUGGAAUGCGCAGAUAUCAGGAGGAACACCGGUGGCGAAGGCGGUUCUCUGGGCAUGAUCUGACGCUGAGGAGCGAAAGUGUGGGGAGCGAACAGG
RNAcentral lists this ribosomal RNA (253 nucleotides) under uncultured bacterium. RNAcentral's name for it is "partial 16S ribosomal RNA". It matches the Rfam family "Bacterial small subunit ribosomal RNA", at positions 524 to 776 of the family's 1533-position model. The record is from RNAcentral.